This 486-nucleotide ribosomal RNA is filed under the name uncultured bacterium. RNAcentral describes it as "bacterial SSU rRNA". It matches the Rfam family "Bacterial small subunit ribosomal RNA", at positions 30 to 509 of the family's 1533-position model. The record is from RNAcentral.
AUUGAACGCUGGCGGCAGGCCUAACACAUGCAAGUCGAGCGGUAGAGAGGUGCUUGCAUCUCUUGAGAGCGGCGGACGGGUGAGUAAUGCCUAGGAAUCUGCCUAGUGGUGGGGGAUAACGUUCGGAAACGGACGCUAAUACCGCAUACGUCCUACGGGAGAAAGCGGGGGAUCUUCGGACCUCGCGCCAUUAGAUGAGCCUAGGUCGGAUUAGCUAGUUGGUGAGGUAAUGGCUCACCAAGGCGACGAUCCGUAACUGGUCUGAGAGGAUGAUCAGUCACACUGGAACUGAGACACGGUCCAGACUCCUACGGGAGGCAGCAGUGGGGAAUAUUGGACAAUGGGCGAAAGCCUGAUCCAGCCAUGCCGCGUGUGUGAAGAAGGUCUUCGGAUUGUAAAGCACUUUAAGUUGGGAGGAAGGGUAGUAACCUAAUACGUUGCUACUUUGACGUUACCGACAGAAUAAGCACCGGCUAACUUCGUGCC